Fundulus heteroclitus (mummichog) is the source of this 417-nucleotide long non-coding RNA. RefSeq lists it as uncharacterized. NCBI's taxonomy places the organism in Eukaryota, Metazoa, Chordata, Actinopteri, Cyprinodontiformes, Fundulidae. The record is from RefSeq and is a predicted model, not a curated record. The transcript has 3 exons.
UGGCACCAGUAGGUGUCACUCUCCAUAGGCUGAGCCUCUAUACAAGGGGAAGCUAGAAGGGUGGUAGCCAGGAGUUCACUUCCUGUGUCUGAGACCAGGGGUGUGGUCGAUCCAUGCUGUUGGUUGGCUGGCUGGGGGCCGCAUUAACAGUAUUCCAGUGGUAGCGUUACGUGGGCGUGUGGUUGUUCGACGCCGCAGGGUUGUCACUGCUUCCUGCUGUCCUUUAGAGUUUGAUUUUCUUUUCUGUUAGUCUGCCUGGUUUGGAUUGUUUUUCUUUUUGAGUACUUGUGAGGGUGGACUAACAACUUUGCAUUUAUUUUGUUUUCUUUUCCCUUCCUGUAUGCUUAUAUUCCUGCUACAUUUUAGAUAUUGGCACCUGUAUUUUAUUUAUAUACAAUAAAGCUUGGUAAAAUUAAA